Molecule: ribosomal RNA, 180 nt
Filed under: uncultured Glomeromycotina
Lineage: Eukaryota; Fungi; Glomeromycota
Description: partial small subunit ribosomal RNA
Rfam family: Eukaryotic small subunit ribosomal RNA (bases 44-180)
Source: RNAcentral
GGGUUCUACCGUUGGUCGGGCUAUAGUCUGUACUGGCGCGUGGAAUUUCUACCUUCUGGGGAACUAUCAUGUUAUUAAUUUAGCGUGGUAGGAAACCAGAACCUUUACCUUGAAAAAAUUAGAGUGUUUAAAGCAGGCAUCCGCUUGAAUACAUUAGCAUGGAAUAACAGAAUAAGACUU